RNAcentral lists this long non-coding RNA (344 nucleotides) under Trifolium pratense (red clover). RNAcentral's name for it is "long non-coding RNA (TPRA_LNC002183)". Lineage: Eukaryota; Viridiplantae; Streptophyta; Magnoliopsida; Fabales; Fabaceae. The record is from RNAcentral.
AAAGAGAGAAGAGACACAAAUCUUUGUUUACCCAGUUCGGUUAAAAUAACCUAGUCUGGGGGAGAGAGCAGCCCUCCGUUCCACUAGAAUCAAAUAAGUCACUUACAAGCAAUUCCCAAAUUUGGGUUACAAGAAUUAGCAAACCCUAACUCUACCCAAAUCCCGAAUUCCUUCCCGUGAUGAAGAAACUCAAUUUGACCUAGUCUACCAAAGGUGAACAAAGCAAACAAUAAACCUUUGCCCUAGAAUUAUACCAAAAGAAAACCCUUUUGUUCUCUCUCUAAAACCCUAGCCUUUGAUGGUGGCAAAUCCUUAUUGUUCCUUUCACUCUCUUAUUUUUCNNN